UCACAGUACAAACACACAGUACAAACACACAGGACAUCACACACUGUAAAACGUAACAACUGUCCUUACUGAAAAUAUACAAUUAAUUGGACUCAGUUUUUGUUUUUUGUUGAGUUUACUUGUCUAAACUGAGUGUUAUUAACUUUUUGGGUGAAAAAGUUAACAAACUUACUGAAAUCUAGUCAACUACACUUUAAUGGCUUUAGUUUGCUUAAGUUUGUGUUACAAGCUUAAGCUACAAGUUAAAAUAACCAUUAUAAUAAAGUAAACUGCACUUAAACUGCUUAACCCUGUGCUACAAGCUCUGCCAUUAUAUAUAUGAUACCUGCAUAUUGAGUAAAAUGAACUCACAUUUUAUUUCUUGUCCUAUUAACUUGUCUGAACUAAGUAGCCUAUUAUUGAAUUUUAGAUAAGGCCUACUUUUCUCAACCAAAUCAAGUGAACUGUAAGCCUAGCCAAGGCUACUUGAUUUGCUGUAGUUUGUGCUACUGAAUAAAUAGGCUACUAUUAUUUAGCCUAUUUUUUAGAUGGAAAAGGCUAUCUUGAAGACUUGCAAUAUUGUCUUUAAACUGGCCAGAUUGCCAUAACCUUACAGGACUGAAAAAAGACUGGUGUGCAAUGAGGACUAGCAUUUAUUAUUAUUAUUAUUAUUACAAAUGCAGUACAAAAUAUACAGCAACAUGCAGCCUACACAUAGCCUAACUGCAUACAAAAUACAAAGCAAGAGGUCACUUAAUAAAAGUCUAUAGCCUAGAUAGCACAAUGCAUACAGGUGUCAAGGGCCAAAAAAUUAAAAGAAAACUCAUCUAAGAUUUCAUGUAAGUAUUUAAUUCCACAAUAAAAGAUAAAAACAAUGGUUUUCUUUCCAGGAAUUUACAUAAUGAAUGUAGAAUUUCGCAAUGAAAAGAAGUAGCCUAAGUUAGGCUAAUUAUGAAGUCCUUUUUAGUGACAUCAUUGUCCUUAGGAAAUCCAAAGUAAACAUAUUUUAGCGUUAAGAUAAACUCUCUGAAAAUGUUCCUCCUUACAAAGUUGGAAAAGUCUAAUCAAAAGACCUUAAUAUACAGUAUAUGAAUUCCCAGAGCGGUCGGGCGACUUUUACGACUGUUGGUGACGUCAAGCCAGAAGUUAUGCAGCACUCGUGCAUUCUUGCGACAAACGUCUCAUCGACGAAGCAAGCACUUGAUGACACGAAACAGUUGCCCAAGAAACAAAAGAUACCCAUAGGCAUGAUCCUUGGCCUUCUGAAUUUGAAAUCCCAGAAUUAUCUGUUGACAUCAAUUACAGGCUUAGACAAGGAAACCUUUUCUACAUGAGAGAUGGCACGCUGUUACAAAUGUCUCGGGACAUGAAACAUGCAAUCCUAGAAAGACUUGCAGAGGCCAUGUAUAAGUAUAUGGCGUACCCCCGAGGUUAUCACUUUGAUGAAGGUGCAGCUGCUCUCGUCAAGAAACACCCUUGUUUGAGGGAGCCUGGAUCCUAUAGUGGAUAUUGUGGAUGGAAAAAUAGUUUAAAGUUUAAAAUGGGAAACUACCGUACCAAGUUAAGGAGAUCUGGAAUGGCUGAUGUCACAGUGAAUGUCUGCAGAAGGCGCAGGGUUUUCCCGGACGAGGAUCCGCCAAGCCGCAACAUCAAAAAGGCUAAAAGGAAUGAGACUAACUUUUUGCCCAAUUUCCCUGAUGGAGAGGAUGAAGUUUCUCUUGAGGCAAUAAGGCGUGAACUUGACAUGGACGCUAAAAAAAGCUUACCUGAUGUGAUUGGCAUUAGAAAGAAGAAGGAUCAGACCUUCGCACUUAGAAGAAAGGAAAUUGUGGAGGAGCAACCACCUGUGUCGAGAAUGGUGGAGCGAUGGCCAGCGCUCUUCACGGAAACUCAAAUUUAUGAUGAAUUCUCAAGAGUUGCCAGCAAGAAUCUUCGUCAACAGUUCUAUGAGGCACUGGACCGUCAGACACCCAGCCUGAUUCAAAUGAAGUCCAAAAGAGGAAAAGUGGGGCCAAUCCCUUGAAGGCUUUCUCCACCAGAUUGAUACUCAGAACAUUACUGUGACACGGACCGUUGUGCUGCGAGGUCUGCCAAUGUUUCUUGGAGAUGAUGACAGUGAGUUCUGCAGGACUUGCUUUGACUGGGACAACGGAGAGGACUCAGCCCAUCUGCCAGUGGGCAUACUUACCGUCAUCCCAGAGGAUGAUCCAAAGCCUAAUGCUGCUGGUUUGCACUUGCACCCUACCAGCGUUGCGGUAAUUCUUGAGGGGGACCUAGUCUUGGAUGACUUGUCUUCAUAUUCAGAGGCGUUUUGUCUUUUGUUUGGACUUGUAUAUGCAUUGCACCUUGAAUCCCAGAUCAAUUAGGUAUUCAUUUGAGUUCAUUCAAAAGGGAUAUAGGAAUUUUCUGUUUUUAUGUAUGUCCUAAUGUAAGUUUUUCUAUUUGUGUGCCUGUUGCUUACUGUUCACAAGUUCAAUAAACUUACAUAUUUCCAGGUAAUCGGUUUCCUCAUUUUAUCCAAGUUCACAUAACUUACAUUUGCAGGGUAUUUGAGUUCAAUUUACUUUGAAAAAUGUAGUAUUGCUGAUUGCUUUUUACUCAUGUACUUGAGUUAUGAGAACUUAGUUUCUUUGGUAAGUGCCUUUAUUUGAGCCAAGUUCACUUUACUUAAGUAUGCCAAGUACACUUAACUUUGUUUUCUCUUAUUUUCACAACUGAAGUGAACUGAGUAUUCCCUACUCACUGUGUGCUAGUUUAUUUUAAGUGAACAAGUCACUUAGUUUAACUUAAACAGAUAUGUUCUUUUGAGUAUUCCCUACUCACUGUGUGCUAGUUUAUUUUAAAUGAACAAGUCACUUAGUUUAACUUAAACAGAUAAGUUCUUUUACUUAAUUUUUUCCAGGUAAUCGGUUUCCACAAUUUUUUUAAGUAAAGUUAACUUAUCAGGUUUUACAGUGCAGUACAAACACACAAUACAAACACACAGGACAUCACAGGACAAACACACAAUACAAACA
Molecule: long non-coding RNA, 2996 nt
Organism: Clupea harengus (Atlantic herring)
Lineage: Eukaryota; Metazoa; Chordata; Actinopteri; Clupeiformes; Clupeidae
Exons: 4
Source: RefSeq, a predicted model, not a curated record